UUUUUAGAUGUUCUGGGCCGCACGCGCGCUACACUGAUUCAUGCAACGAGUUUUGUCCUUGGCUGAAAGGCCUGGGUAAUCUUUGAACGUGAAUCGUGCUGGGGAUAGAUGAUUGCAAUUAUUCAUCUUCAACGAGGAAUUCCUAGUAAACGCAAGUCAUCAGCUUGCAUUGAUUACGUCCCUGCCCUUUGUACACACCGCCCGUCGCACCUACCGAUUGAAUGGUCCGGUGAAAUCUUCGGAUCUGAGAGAUGUUGGAUUAAUUUCUGACGCCUUUUGGAAAAGUCGCUUAAACCUUAUCAUUUAGAGGAAGGUGAAGUCGUAACA
Molecule: ribosomal RNA, 327 nt
Filed under: uncultured eukaryote
Lineage: Eukaryota
Description: partial 18S ribosomal RNA
Rfam family: Eukaryotic small subunit ribosomal RNA
Source: RNAcentral